UACGGAGGGUGCAAGCGUUGCUCGGAAUCACUGGGCGUAAAGCGAACGCAGGCGGUUUUGCAGGUCGGAUGUGAAAGCCCAGGGCUCAACCCUGGAACUGCAUCCGAAACCGCAAGACUUGAGUACGUGAGAGGGGAGUGGAAUUCCUGGUGUAGAGGUGAAAUUCGUAGAUAUCAGGAGGAACACCAGUGGCGAAAGCGACUCCCUGGCACGAUACUGACGCUCAUGCACGAAAGCGUGGGGAGCAAACAGG
RNAcentral lists this ribosomal RNA (253 nucleotides) under uncultured bacterium. Its description in RNAcentral is "partial 16S ribosomal RNA". It matches the Rfam family "Bacterial small subunit ribosomal RNA", at positions 524 to 776 of the family's 1533-position model. The record is from RNAcentral.